GUGACCAGCGUAUGCAUCCCCAGGGCACACAUAAUGACCCUAUUCUCCUUAAGGCUUUGUAGCCGAGGGUCAGUCUUAUCCGAAAACAGGCCCUGGCCCUCAAACGGAAGGUCCUGGAUGUUAUAUUGGAGUUCCGGAGGAAGGCCAGAGACCUGAAGCCACAAGAUGCGGUGCAUAGUGACUCCUGAGGCCAGAGUCCUGGCGGCCGAGUCCGCAGCAUCCAAAGCUGCCUGCAGGGAAGUUCAUGCGACUUUCUUUCCCUCGUCAAGGAUAGCGGCGAACUCUUGACGAGCGUCCUGCGGGAGCAGCUCCUUAAAUUUAUCCACCGCCACCCAGGACAAAGGCAUAUCUGCUCUGCA
Molecule: non-coding RNA, 359 nt
Organism: Chelonoidis abingdonii (Abingdon island giant tortoise)
Lineage: Eukaryota; Metazoa; Chordata; Testudines; Testudinidae
Source: RefSeq, a predicted model, not a curated record